This 479-nucleotide unclassified non-coding RNA is filed under the name Ernakulamia cochinensis. RNAcentral describes it as "sequence contains ITS1, 5.8S rRNA gene, ITS2". The stretch from base 166 to 319 matches the Rfam family "5.8S ribosomal RNA". The record is from RNAcentral. Lineage: Eukaryota; Fungi; Ascomycota; Dothideomycetes; Pleosporales; Tetraplosphaeriaceae.
GACCUGCGGAGGAUCAUUAUCGUGGGGACUUGACUGUCCCUACCGAGAUAGCACCCUCUGUUUUACCGAGCACCUUCUGUUUCCUCGGCGGGUUCGCCCGCCAAUGGGGACCACACAAAACCUACUUGCAGUAUCAGUAGUAAACGUCUCAAACAAAACUAUUAAAACUUUCAACAACGGAUCUCUUGGUUCUGGCAUCGAUGAAGAACGCAGCGAAAUGCGAUAAGUAAUGCGAAUUGCAGAAUUCCACGAGUCAUCGAAUCUUUGAACGCACAUUGCGCCCUUUGGUAUUCCUUAGGGCAUGCCUGUUCGAGCGUCAUCUAACCCCUCAAGCACUGCUUGGUGUUGGGCGUUUGUCCCCCCCUCUGGUGUGGGACUCGCCUAGAAUUCAUUGGCAGCCUCCGUAUCGGGCUAUCGAGCGCAGCAGAUCAGCGCCUCGGGCCCGGCAUGCAGGCGUCCAGGAAGCUACUCCAACCUUU